UGCAUGCUUUAAUGUACUUUACAACCUUUCUGCCUUGAUAAAGCUGCUCUGCACUCAGUUUUAUUUGAAUGUGGAUUUAUUCAAAGCAGAGCAGUUGAACUGUGCAUGCAGCAGGUGCAUGCAGACUUCUUUUUGUCCACAUUGGCACGUUGACAGUGACUGUAUACAAUAACGGGAUUUUCUAUGCUGUUAAACAGAACAAAAUCUCCAAAUAGGGUUUGAUGAUUCUGGGCUUGUGAAAGACAGUUUUGUGCACUAGAUUUGUUCCCAUGUAAACAUACUUUUUUUCUACCUGACUGUUUUCUCAUUUUCUCAUGUUGGAGAUUUUUGCAAAUGCUACUCUUUCAUUUUACUGUCUUUAAUGUCACUGUGUCCAGCUCUUUAUGUUCUGCAUUCAGGUAUUCCAUCUCAGGCACACAGGAUGACUGUGGUCUACAGUAUACUGCGGCUGAGAGAAACAGUACCAGCGCUUCAACUGUCCACCAUCUAGUUGUAAUGUUUUGCAUAGAUUAUUCACUGCCGUUGUAGUCUCCAAGGGCAGGCCACUGUGUGUAUGAAUGGCAUGUACAUUUGGUUAGCUGCUUCAAACAUGACAUUAAUAGUAGUGCAGCAAGAACCAGUACAUAACCACAUGCAACUGCAUUUAUUGUGCAAAAAUAAAUGAAAGCUGAUUAAAAAAAUUGUAAAUAGC
Molecule: long non-coding RNA, 691 nt
Organism: Acanthopagrus latus (yellowfin seabream)
Lineage: Eukaryota; Metazoa; Chordata; Actinopteri; Spariformes; Sparidae
Exons: 2
Source: RefSeq, a predicted model, not a curated record